GACUACGGCCACGCCACCCUGAUUGUGCCUGAUCCCGUCUGAUCUCGGAAGCUAAGCAGGGUCGGGCCUGGUGAGUACUUGGAUGGGAGACCACCUAGAAGACCGGGUGCUAUAGGCA
Molecule: ribosomal RNA, 118 nt
Filed under: Pteropus alecto (black flying fox)
Lineage: Eukaryota; Metazoa; Chordata; Mammalia; Chiroptera; Pteropodidae
Source: RNAcentral